GACGAACGCUGGCGGCGUGCCUAAUACAUGCAAGUAGAACGCUGAAGGAGGAGCUUGCUUCUCUGGAUGAGUUGCGAACGGGUGAGUAACGCGUAGGUAACCUGCCUGGUAGCGGGGGAUAACUAUUGGAAACGAUAGCUAAUACCGCAUAAUAGUAGAUGUUGCAUGACAUUUGCUUAAAAGGUUCAAUUGCAUCACUACCAGAUGGACCUGCGUUGUAUUAGCUAGUUGGUGGGGUAACGGCUCACCAAGGCGACGAUACAUAGCCGACCUGAGAGGGUGAUCGGCCACACUGGGACUGAGACACGGCCCAGAGUACUACGGGAGGCAGCAGUAGGGAAUCUUCGGCAAUGGACGGAAGUCUGACCGAGCAACGCCGCGUGAGUGAAGAAGGUUUUCGGAUCGUAAAGCUCUGUUGUAAGAGAAGAACGAGUGUGAGAGUGGAAAGUUCACACUGUGACGGUAUCUUAACAGAAAGGGACGGCUAACUACGU
This 494-nucleotide ribosomal RNA is filed under the name uncultured bacterium. RNAcentral's name for it is "partial 16S ribosomal RNA". It matches the Rfam family "Bacterial small subunit ribosomal RNA", at positions 28 to 506 of the family's 1533-position model. The record is from RNAcentral.